UACGUAGGGGGCAAGCGUUAUCCGGAUUUACUGGGUGUAAAGGGAGCGUAGACGGCGUGCCAAGUCUGGUGUGAAAGCCCGGGGCCCAACCCCGGGACUGCCCUUGGAACUGCAUGGCUGGAGUGCGGGAGGGGCAGGCGGAAUUCCUGGUGUAGCGGUGAAAUGCGUAGAUAUCAGGAGGAACACCAGUGGCGAAGGCGGCCUGCUGGACGAUGACUGACGUUGAGGUUCGAAAGCGUGGGGAGCAAACAGG
This 253-nucleotide ribosomal RNA is filed under the name uncultured Eubacteriales bacterium. Its description in RNAcentral is "uncultured Clostridiales bacterium partial 16S ribosomal RNA". It matches the Rfam family "Bacterial small subunit ribosomal RNA", at positions 524 to 776 of the family's 1533-position model. The record is from RNAcentral. Lineage: Bacteria; Bacillati; Bacillota; Clostridia; Eubacteriales.